This is an RNA transcript of Mandrillus leucophaeus (drill), 1474 nucleotides long. It is a transcript of the gene named keratin, type II cytoskeletal 8 pseudogene, with no coding region annotated. The record is from RefSeq and is a predicted model, not a curated record. NCBI's taxonomy places the organism in Eukaryota, Metazoa, Chordata, Mammalia, Primates, Cercopithecidae. The transcript is spliced from 3 exons.
AUGAGAAGAAGCAGCUUCUCCUCUCCUUCUGGAAUCUCUGCCUGGUUCAGCCCACCUGCCUCCACUCCUGCCUCCACCGUGUCCAUCAGGAUGACCCAGAGGUCCUACAAGGUGUCCACCUUAGGUCCUACAAGGUGUCCACCUUGUGGGCCCAGUGCCCGCAUCAGCUCCUGGAGCCUCUCCCAAGUGGGCAGCAGCGGCUUCCAGGGCGGCCUGGGCAGAGGCCAUAGUGGCGCCAGUGGCAUGGAAGGCAUCACCACUGUCAUGGUCAAGCAGAGCCUGCUGAGCCCCCUUACCUGGAGAGGGACUCCAACAUCCAGGAGUCGGCACCCAGGAGAAGGACCAGGUCAAGACCCUCAACAAGUUUGCGUCCUUCAUAGACAAGGUAGGGAGAAAAAGAUACUGGAGACCAAGUGGAGCCUCCUGCGGCAGCAGAAGAAGGCUGGGAGCAACAUGGACAACAUGUUCGAGAGCUACAUCAACAACUUUAGGUGGCAGCUGGAGGCUGGGCCAGGAGAAGAUGAAGCUGGAGGCGGAGCAUGGCAACAUGCAGGGGCCGCUGGAGGACUUCACGAACAAGUAUGAGGAUGAGAUCAAUAAGCGUACAAAGAUGGAGAAUGAAUUUGUCCUCAUCAAGAAGGAUGUGGAUGAAGCUUACAUGCACAGGGUAGAGCUGGAGUCUCACCUGCAAGGGCUGACUGAGGAGAUCAACUUUCUCAGGCAGCUGUAUGAAGAGGAGAUCCGGGAGCUGCAGUCCCAGAUCUCAGACACGUCUGUGGUGCUGUCCACGGACAACAGCCGCUCCCUGGUCAUGGACAGCGUCAUCGCUGAGGUCAAGGCGCAGUACGAGGAGAUCGGCAACCGCAGCUGGGCUGAGGCUGAGAGCAUGUACCAGAUCAAGUAUGAGGAGCUCCAGACGCUGGCUGGGAAGCAGGGGGAUGACCUGCAGUGAACGAAGACUGAGAUCUCCCAGAUGAACUGGAACAUAAGCUGGCUUCAGGCUGAGACUGAGGGCCUGGAAGGCCAGCGGGCUUCCCUGGAGGCUGCCAUCACAGAUGCCGAGCAUCCUGGGGAGCUGGCCCUUAAGGAUGCCAAGGCCAAGCUGUCUGAGCUGGAGGCCGCCCUGCAGCGGACCAAGCAGGACAUGGCACGGCAGCUGCGUGAGUACCAGGAGCUGAUGAACGUCAAGCUGGCCCUGAACAUCGAGAUCGCCACCUACAGGAAGCUGCUGGAGGGCGAUGAGAGCCGGCUGGCGUCUGGGAUUCACAACAUGCGUAUCCAUACGAAGACCACCAGCGGCUAUGCAGGUGGUCUGAGCUCGACCUAUGGCGGCCUCACAAGCCCCGGCCUCAGCUAAGGCCUGGGCUCCAGCGCCUUCAGCCACACCAGCUCCAUCAGGGCCAUGAUUGUGAAGAAGAUCGACACCGGCGAUGGGAAGCUAGUGUCCGAGUCCUCUGACGUCCUGCCCAAGUGA